UUAGGAUCUGAGCCUCUCAAAAGAUUGGAUCCAUGAAAGAGGCAUGCAUAGUUUCCUAUAAAGAGCCUGCGUUACCCUAUUAGGGUUCUGUCCUGCGAUCCAUCAACAUGGCUAUUGUGAAAUGAGGCGGCGGCGGCGUAUCGAAUCUGAUACUUCAGCCUUGUACAGAAAAAGGUAUUGUGCUAGACAUAAAAAUCAUUCUUUUGGAAAGGUGUAUUUAUGACUUUGGCCUUAAAGCCUGGAUUUUAUCCAAGAUUGUAGAGUGCUCUAUGGCCAGUUCUUGAGGUUAGUCAUGUGAUUGCUGGCUGUUAAUCAUAUCUUUCAGUUGAGUAUUCCUUUUUAAUUACAGCCUUUUUUUAGUUUGUUCUGGUAUGCAUUUUUUUUAUGACUAGAAAUUCUUCAAGAGAUUUAAGGCUUUCAUAGUUCAUAACCAAGAAGUAGAUUUCAUGUCAUUUGUUUGUUUAUAUGACGAGAAAAUCCUUAAGAGGUAAGGCUUCCAUAGUUCAUAACCAAGUAAUAGAUUUCUUGGAAUGACAUGAUAAAUUAAAGUUCACUGACAUGAUAUAUUUAAGGAUCACAGACAUUAUAUGCUAGAUAUAACUAUUGGAAUCUGAUAAUUUUUAGAUUAGACGGGAAUUUGCUAAUAGGUUUCUGUAAAUACAUUGGCGGUUUCAUGUCCUUAUAUGAGUUUUAUUGUUGUAAUUAUUUGAUUAUAAUAAACAUGGAUGAUAAGCACUCCUGCCACGCUACAGUUUAUUUUGUAUGGGGCCAACCUUUAGUGAUGAUACCAUGUAUGAGGUAACCUUUGGUCUAUUGGCCACAAUUUUUAUCCACCAAUAUCUGCUGGAGUAUUUCACUCCCAUAAGAUGUUCUCUUUUUAGGCCUCAAUGCUUUUAUCAUUAGAUCAUGCCAUUUUUUGAGCUCAUCCAAAUUGACAUUUCUAACGAUUCCUUAAAGCUUUACCUCAGUUUUGUCUUUUUCCUAUCCUAGGCAGUCUGCAUGAGAUAUUUACCAUGUGACUCUCCAAAAAUGCCAUUAUCCUUAAAUUUAUUUGGAGGCUUACUUAUCUUGCACCUUUAUCCCUCUGCAAAUAGAGUUCCAUUUGGAGGCUUCCUUCUCGCACCUUUUUCCUCUGCAAAUAUAGGCUUUGAUGCCCAGUACUAAUUUGUCCCUCUAUAUCACCAUCCUUCAGCAGAAUCUUAAGGCUAACUCUGAUCGUCAAGACAUUUUGCUUAAUCAAUUUGACCAGUUUGCAGGAUACUGAUUCAAUUAGCAUUCCUGAUCUGCAUACUACUAAGAACAAUAGUGGAGCUUUUUCUUGAUCAGGUGGAUAAAUACUAUGGUGGCCAUUGUGCCUCUUCCAUGCUUCUGGAGUAGAGGCUAUCUGCUGUGCAGGAUGAAGACUUUUCUUCUACGGCUGGUUUAAUCCUCUCACAUGAUGCAAUGGUGGAACUGGAACUUUGGUGCCUGCCACGACUUCUUGUUGUGCCUAUGUUUUCUCCGAAAAAGGCAGACUAUUGCUGUUGAUGGAGGCAGCUGUUGUGAUUAUGUUUACUCACUGUUUUCUUUAUGAUUAGCUGCUGUUGUUUCCAGCAGUCUUAUUAUCAUUUGAAGUUUUGUUUGCCCUUGUCCACAGCUUGUUUGCUGUUUGAUGGGGUGCUUUCUUUGCUGUUUUUAGGCCGACUCUGUGAUUUGUAAUUUUCCUUUCUUCAGUUAAUCACCGAUAAAACUACUUUUUCUAAAAAAAAAUAUGAAUAUCUAGAUGCGCUCUGGUAACUUUAUCAAACAAAAUCCAGCAAGUCACCACCUCUUCUGUUAUAUUUAUGUAAAUGGCCCUUGAUCAGAAAGACGCGUUUUUGUGUUUACUCCUGGACUUGGUAGUUCAGAAACUUGUGAGGGAUUAUAUGUUAAGGUUUAAUAGGAUGGGAUGGUCUCUAUCUUAA
Molecule: long non-coding RNA, 1943 nt
Organism: Cryptomeria japonica (Japanese cedar)
Lineage: Eukaryota; Viridiplantae; Streptophyta; Pinopsida; Cupressales; Cupressaceae
Exons: 2
Source: RefSeq, a predicted model, not a curated record